This 72-nucleotide transfer RNA is filed under the name Salmonella enterica subsp. enterica. RNAcentral's name for it is "tRNA-Thr". It matches the Rfam family "tRNA". Rfam says of the family: Transfer RNA (tRNA) molecules are approximately 80 nucleotides in length. Lineage: Bacteria; Pseudomonadati; Pseudomonadota; Gammaproteobacteria; Enterobacterales; Enterobacteriaceae. The record is from RNAcentral.
GCUGGUUUAGCUCCAAUGGUAGAGCAGUCGCCUUGUAAGCGAAUGGUGGUUCCAAGUCGUUAACCAGCACCA